CGUUCACAGGCCUUGUACACACCGCCCGUCACACCAUGGGAGUUGGUUUUACCUUAAGGCGGUGGGCUAACCGGAAGGGGGCAGCCGACCACGGUAGGGUCAGCGACUGGGGUG
RNAcentral lists this ribosomal RNA (114 nucleotides) under uncultured bacterium. RNAcentral's name for it is "partial 16S ribosomal RNA". It matches the Rfam family "Bacterial small subunit ribosomal RNA", at positions 1369 to 1482 of the family's 1533-position model. The record is from RNAcentral.